This 148-nucleotide long non-coding RNA is filed under the name Cavia porcellus (domestic guinea pig). RNAcentral's name for it is "lncRNA (ENSCPOG00000034867.1)". Lineage: Eukaryota; Metazoa; Chordata; Mammalia; Rodentia; Caviidae. The record is from RNAcentral.
CAGAGACACAGACCUCAGGAAUGCACCAUGAGAAAAAUCAAAUACAAAUUUUCACACUGGUUAAGGAGUUCCAAGCUUCUGGAGCCACCACCAGACUAGGUGUCUACAUCACAGCCAGAGUGGGCGCUGUCGUGGCCCUCAAGUUUAU